GACGGAGGAUGCAAGCGUUAUCCGGAAUGAUUGGGCGUAAAGCGUCCGCAGGUGGCAGUUCAAGUCUGCUGUCAAAGACCGGGGCUCAACCUCGGAAAGGCAGUGGAAACUGAACAGCUAGAGUAUGGUAGGGGCAAAGGGAAUUCCUGGCGUAGCGGUGAAAUGCGUAGAGAUCAGGAAGAACAUCGGUGGCGAAGGCGCUUUGCUGGACCAUAACUGACACUCAGGGACGAAAGCUAGGGGAGCGAACAGG
This 253-nucleotide ribosomal RNA is filed under the name uncultured bacterium. Its description in RNAcentral is "partial 16S ribosomal RNA". It matches the Rfam family "Bacterial small subunit ribosomal RNA", at positions 524 to 776 of the family's 1533-position model. The record is from RNAcentral.